Non-coding RNA from Pelobates cultripes (western spadefoot toad), 435 nucleotides. The record is from the annotation of a GenBank genome assembly. Lineage: Eukaryota; Metazoa; Chordata; Amphibia; Anura; Pelobatidae.
CCGGUUUCUUUUUAAUCUUGUCAUAGGUCAUAAACCAGUUUCUUUUUGUACUUUUUUGUAAUCUGUACAUGUACUUGUCCGCAUCAGACCUGUAAAAAACCAAACCCCCCAAAAGUAUGUUAUUGUUUUGAAGAAUUUCAUGUCAAUAUCAAAACUUAACUUUAAAGCAAACCAUGGCUAUUAAUGUCUAGACCGAUCUACAAAAUAUAUUCUGAGAUCUAUGAAAAUCAAGCUUUAAAAGUAACACCAACUUUAAAGGGACACUAUAGUCACCAGAACUACUACAGCUUAAUGUAGAAGUUCUGGUGAGCAUAAUCAUUACCUGCAGGCAUUUUCAUGUAAACACUGCCUUUUCCCGUCUCCUUGCCGAUUUGGUGACCUCAUCAAAACUUAUGAUAAAAAUUGUAAAUUCUGAAGUCACCAAGGAGAUGGAUC